CUUCCCCGAAGGAGAGAUCAUCCUCGGACAUGAAGGAGAAUUCUGGCAACGUCUCGGAGCAAGCCUCGCCGUUGCGCACGGGUCUAAUCACUGCAUGCCAGCCCGUUUUCCUGCUCAUCUCUCUGCCUGCUGACCAGUCAUGCAGUCGACCCGUCCACUAGCUUCAUCCAGUCACACUCACAUCUUUGUCUUCAUCCCUGCUCUGCCCUGCCGCGUCAGCCACCAGCUUCCCUCUGCCCCUCUGCCUUCGCCUGCUGACACACUCAUCUCCAUCCACCUUCACUCCCUGAGAGCUCAGUCAAUAAACCUUUUCUUAUUCAAUCCAA
Molecule: long non-coding RNA, 326 nt
Organism: Thunnus maccoyii (southern bluefin tuna)
Lineage: Eukaryota; Metazoa; Chordata; Actinopteri; Scombriformes; Scombridae
Exons: 2
Source: RefSeq, a predicted model, not a curated record